Molecule: ribosomal RNA, 440 nt
Filed under: uncultured bacterium
Lineage: Bacteria
Description: bacterial SSU rRNA
Rfam family: Bacterial small subunit ribosomal RNA
Source: RNAcentral
GAUGAACGCUGGCGGCGUGCUUAACACAUGCAAGUCGAACGGGAAAUAUUUCAUUGAGACUUCGGUGGAUUUGAUCUAUUUCUAGUGGCGGACGGGUGAGUAACGCGUGGGUAACCUGCCUUAUACAGGGGGAUAACAGUCAGAAAUGGCUGCUAAUACCGCAUAAGCGCACAGAGCUGCAUGGCUCAGUGUGAAAAACUCCGGUGGUAUAAGAUGGACCCGCGUUGGAUUAGCUUGUUGGUGGGGUAACGGCCCACCAAGGCGACGAUCCAUAGCCGGCCUGAGAGGGUGAACGGCCACAUUGGGACUGAGACACGGCCCAGACUCCUACGGGAGGCAGCAGUGGGGAAUAUUGCACAAUGGGGGAAACCCUGAUGCAGCGACGCCGCGUGAAGGAAGAAGUAUCUCGGUAUGUAAACUUCUAUCAGCAGGGAAGAUAG